GUGAGUCUGGUUGCAGGGUAUAAAUAUAAUAUUGUUUUCGUUUACGUUGAAGGAUUUUUUGUGCAAUUCAAAAUGCUCUGAUUAUUAUGAUAUAUUUUUUGUUUUUUUGUAUUUUUUAAUUUUUAUUUAAGUUAUUUUAUUUUUUUUAUUGUUUAGUAUUAUAGAAAAGCUUGAUUUUGUUAUAGUUUACUUUUAAUGUAAGUGGUUUAUUUUUAAAUUUAAUUUAAGAAUUUUUAUUUUAUUUUACCUUUUGUAUCAGGGUCGAUUAAAUAUUUUAUUUUUAUAGAUUUUUCUCGAAUUGUAAGGAUUUAUAUUGAAAUGAUUGUUAUUGUUUUAUAACUAUUUAAAAUUUUGAUAUAGGAGUGAGAUUCUAUACGUUUUGCAAGAUAUCUAGUUUCUUUAGAUGAAAUUUAAUUUGUAAGGGUUUUUUAAAUUAAUUGUUUAUUAUUAGUUUAUUAAUUUUUUAUUAUGUUUUAGGGGUUAAGCUCUAGAUUAUAUUAUAAUUUAUUUUAAUUUUAUUUUAAUGUAGGCUUGGAAUUAGCCAUUAUAUAUAAGUGUGUAUUAUUAUAUUAUUUAUUUUAAUUAUUUUUUAUUAAGGUUUAGUUAUUUUAUAAAGAUUUAGAUUGGAAUUUUUUUUUGUUUAGUAAUAAUGAUUGAAUUAGUAUAUUUUUUUGUUUAAUUAAUAAUAUAUUUGAUGUUAUUAAAAGGAAUUAGGCAAAUUAUAUUUCCGCUUGUUUAUCAAAAACAUCUCUUGUAGGAUAAAAAUUAUAAGUAGGGCCUGCACACUGAGGAUUUAAAGAGCCGCAGUAUUUUGACUGUGCAAAGGUAGCAUAAUCAUUAGUAUAUUAAUUGUGUACUGGAAUGAAGGGUUUGACGAGAAAUAUUCUGUCUCUUUGUGAUAAUUAGAAUUUUACUUUUUAGUAAAAAGGCUGGGAUUGAUUUUUUGGACGAUAAGACCCUAUAGAGUUUAAUUUAUUUUUUAUUAUUAGUUUAGGUUAAUUUAUGUGUUUUUAUUAGAAUAAUAAAUUUAGUUGGGGCGAUUUGAAUAAUAAUGAAACUAUUCAUUUGAUUAUCAUUGAUUUAUGUUAUUUAUGAUCCUUUAUUAUUGAUUUUUAGAUAAAAUUACCUUAGGGAUAACAGCGCAAUCAUCUUUGAGAGUUCUUAUUGACGGGAUGGAUUGUGACCUCGAUGUUGGAUUAAGAUUGUUAUUUAGGUGUAGGCGCUUGA
This 1227-nucleotide ribosomal RNA is filed under the name Yunnantettix bannaensis. RNAcentral's name for it is "partial large subunit ribosomal RNA". Lineage: Eukaryota; Metazoa; Arthropoda; Insecta; Orthoptera; Tetrigidae. The record is from RNAcentral.